This 167-nucleotide ribosomal RNA is filed under the name uncultured Clostridium sp. RNAcentral's name for it is "partial 16S ribosomal RNA". It matches the Rfam family "Bacterial small subunit ribosomal RNA", at positions 365 to 526 of the family's 1533-position model. The record is from RNAcentral. Lineage: Bacteria; Bacillati; Bacillota; Clostridia; Eubacteriales; Clostridiaceae.
GGGGAAAUGGGGGAAGUCCUGAAGCAGCCCGCCGCGUGAGUGAUGAAGGCCUUCGGGUUGUAAAGCUCUUUCUUCAGGGAGGAAAGUGUUGUGGUUAUAAACUUGGCACCUGACCUUUCCCUGACAGCAAGCCCCCGGCUACUUCAUGCCCACCGCCGCUAUAAUAA